GACGAACGCUGGCGGCGUGCCUAAUACAUGCAAGUCGAACGCUUCUUUCCUCCCGAGUGCUUGCACUCAAUUGGAAAGAGGAGUGGCGGACGGGUGAGUAACACGUGGGUAACCUACCCAUCAGAGGGGGAUAACACUUGGAAACAGGUGCUAAUACCGCAUAACAGUUUAUGCCGCAUGGCAUAAGAGUGAAAGGCGCUUUCGGGUGUCGUUGAUGGAUGGACCCGCGGUGCAUUAGCUAGUUGGUGAGGUAACGGCUCACCAAGGCCACGAUGCAUAGCCGACCUGAGAGGGUGAUCGGCCACACUGGGACUGAGACACGGCCCAGACUCCUACGGGAGGCAGCGGUAGGGAAUCUUCGGCAAUGGACGAAAGUCUGACCGAGCAACGCCGCGUGAGUGAAGAAGGUUUUCGGAUCGUAAAACUCUGUUGUUAGAGAAGAACAAGGACGUUAGUAACUGAACGUCCCCUGACGGUAUCUAACCAGAAAGCCACGGCUAACUACGUG
RNAcentral lists this ribosomal RNA (508 nucleotides) under uncultured bacterium. RNAcentral's name for it is "partial 16S ribosomal RNA". It matches the Rfam family "Bacterial small subunit ribosomal RNA", at positions 28 to 507 of the family's 1533-position model. The record is from RNAcentral.